Molecule: transfer RNA, 84 nt
Filed under: Felis catus (domestic cat)
Lineage: Eukaryota; Metazoa; Chordata; Mammalia; Carnivora; Felidae
Rfam family: tRNA
About the family: Transfer RNA (tRNA) molecules are approximately 80 nucleotides in length. Their secondary structure includes four short double-helical elements and three loops (D, anti-codon, and T loops).
Source: Rfam by way of RNAcentral
GCCUGGGUGGCUCAGUUGGUUGAGCAUCUGACUUCAGCUCAGGUAUGAUCUUGUGGUCCGUGAGUUCGAGCCUCGCAUCGGGCU